This is a long non-coding RNA of Scatophagus argus, 539 nucleotides long. RefSeq lists it as uncharacterized. The transcript is spliced from 3 exons. The record is from RefSeq and is a predicted model, not a curated record. Lineage: Eukaryota; Metazoa; Chordata; Actinopteri; Scatophagidae.
GGGUUGCAUAGGGUGGAGCCUCCUGUAUCGCUGGUACUGCGUGAAGAUGGGGUAAUCGGUCCUGUUGUACCACUGCGGGGGACACACAGGGCAGUGAAGGCAACUGGUUCAAAUGAGACGCACGUCACAGAAUCGUCAACAAUGUGAUGUGAACGUCACCUGAGUGAGGUCAGCGGAGAAAGGGGCGGGGUCCCAGGCCACCAGAGCACCUGAGCUGUACAGAGAACUGGACAGGAAACGAUGGUCAUCAGACGCCAUCACCUGACAGUAAAGAUCUGGACUCAACUGAUCUGGAGAGAGAAGAUACAGGAAAAUCAGAAGAGAGGACAGGAGGGCAGAGAAGGAGGAUGGCCAUAAAAAACAUUUCAUACCUCCAUAUGGGACUGUGCUGCACAGCAAACCAUGCAGUAAGACAGUAAGAUCUAAACUACUGCAAGUAAUGAGUAUGUAGACGCUAAAUAACAUAUUUACAGGAGGGCCAUCACCAGAGACCACACAGGUCACCACAGGAUCACCACAGACACAUGAUGGUAACAGAC